RNAcentral lists this non-coding RNA (32 nucleotides) under Homo sapiens (human). Lineage: Eukaryota; Metazoa; Chordata; Mammalia; Primates; Hominidae. The record is from RNAcentral.
UGGAACUGCUGUGUGACCAGAAACAGCCUCAA